RNAcentral lists this ribosomal RNA (496 nucleotides) under uncultured bacterium. RNAcentral describes it as "bacterial SSU rRNA". It matches the Rfam family "Bacterial small subunit ribosomal RNA", at positions 8 to 507 of the family's 1533-position model. The record is from RNAcentral.
AGAGUUUGAUCAUGGCUCAGGAUGAACGCUAGCGGCAGGCCUAAUACAUGCAAGUCGAACGCUCAGUAGCAAUACUGGGAGUGGCGCACGGGUGCGUAACGCGUACACAAUCUACCUCUAAGCGGGGGACACCUCCUGGAAACGGGGAUUAAUACCGCAUAAUAUGCCGAGGUCGCAUGACUUUGGUAUUAAAGCAGCAAUGCACUUAGAGAUGAGUGUGCGUCCCAUUAGGUAGUUGGUGAGGUAACGGCUCACCAAGCCUAUGAUGGGUAGCCGGUCUGAGAGGAUGGUCGGCCACACGGGCACUGAGACACGGGCCCGACUCCUACGGGAGGCAGCAGUAAGGAAUAUUGGUCAAUGGUGGAAACACUGAACCAGCCAUGCCGCGUGGAGGAAUAAGGUCCUACGGAUUGUAAACUCCUUUUGACGAGGAAGAAAGUGUUAGAUUUAUCUAAUUUUGACGGUACUCGUAGAAUAAGCACCGGUUAACUCCGUG